GAUGAACGCUAGCGGCGUGCCUAACACAUGCAAGUCGAACGUGAGAGGGUACUUGUAUCCUUGAAAGUGGCGGACGGGUGAGUAAGACGUAGGUGACCUGCCUUGAAGUGGGGGAUAACCAUUGGAAACGAUGGCUAAUACCGCAUAAGCUGGUGACGAUGGGAAUCGUUAACAGGAAAGCUUUAGUGCUUUGAGAGGGGCCUACGGCCGAUUAGCUAGUUGGUGAGGUAAAGGCUCACCAAGGCGAUGAUCGGUAGCUGGUCUGAGAGGACGAUCAGCCACACGGGAACUGAGACACGGUCCCGACUCCUACGGGGGGCAGCAGUGAGGAAUAUUCGGCAAUGGGCGAAAGCCUGACCCAGCAACGCCGCGUGGAGGAUGAAGGCUUUAGGGUUGUAAACUCCUUUUGUGGGGGAAAAGAAUGGAUGGUACCCCAAGAAUAAGUCACGGCUAACUACGUG
This 461-nucleotide ribosomal RNA is filed under the name uncultured bacterium. Its description in RNAcentral is "bacterial SSU rRNA". It matches the Rfam family "Bacterial small subunit ribosomal RNA", at positions 28 to 507 of the family's 1533-position model. The record is from RNAcentral.